UGAGCAAUCUGCCCUUCUCUUCGGAAUAAGCGUUGGAAACGACGUCUAAUGCCGAAUACGACCUCCUUUCGCAUGAUCGGAGGUGGAAAGCUCCGGCGGAGAAGGAUGAGCUCGCGGCCUAUCAGCUAGUUGGUGUGGGUAAUGGCCCACAAGGCGACGACGGGUAGCCGCCUGAGAGGGUGACCGGCCACACUGGGACUGAGACACGGCCCAGACUCCUACGGGAGGNAGCG
Molecule: ribosomal RNA, 233 nt
Filed under: uncultured bacterium
Lineage: Bacteria
Description: partial 16S ribosomal RNA
Rfam family: Bacterial small subunit ribosomal RNA
Source: RNAcentral